CAUUUUUCUUCCUGAUAACCUUUUACUAAUGAAGCGCCAGGGCUGAGAAGAGACCAUUUACAAAUGGUGAAUCAUUAGAAACAGAUUUGUGGGCGGGAUGGAUUUUCCAGCAGAGCAUCACUUCUGAGAACACUCUCCUCUGCUAAAAGUACUUGGCAAACAGAAGCAGUGGCAGCCUCAGCCUCGGAGGCAUCCCGUACGUCCUGGCCAGCCCAGUUUACGCCAUGGAACAGAGGGAAAAUCCACCGAGGUUGCGAUCCAAAAGGUUGCUUUCUAGAAGGCAUCAAAAGACCAGCAAGGGUACAAAAAUCAGCGCAGAAGGGAAAUGCUCAGAUUGUAAGUUCUUUGAAAGCAGACUCUGUCUUAUCUCUUUUUGUAGCCCCAGUGCUUAGCACAGUGCCUGGCACACAGUAGGCACUUUAAUAAGUCCAUCUUCCUUCUUUCCCUCUUCCAUUCACAGAUUCAGCUUCUCCAAGUUCCUAACACUUCCUCACAAUCACAAAACAUGCUUAUUCACAUGUUUUCUCUUUGUCUUCCACUCUCUUAAAUGACUCUUCUCUACAGACAUUCAGUGGUCCUGAUCAGAGUCUAAGCUCUUGGUCUACAUUCUUUUCUUCAUCACAUGUAGGGACAAAUUAAUAUGAU
This 645-nucleotide long non-coding RNA is filed under the name Phascolarctos cinereus (koala). Its description in RNAcentral is "lncRNA (ENSPCIG00000016786.2)". Lineage: Eukaryota; Metazoa; Chordata; Mammalia; Diprotodontia; Phascolarctidae. The record is from RNAcentral.